This 460-nucleotide ribosomal RNA is filed under the name uncultured Ochrobactrum sp. RNAcentral's name for it is "bacterial SSU rRNA". It matches the Rfam family "Bacterial small subunit ribosomal RNA", at positions 925 to 1382 of the family's 1533-position model. The record is from RNAcentral. Lineage: Bacteria; Pseudomonadati; Pseudomonadota; Alphaproteobacteria; Hyphomicrobiales; Brucellaceae.
ACAAGCGGUGGAGCAUGUGGUUUUAAUUCGAAGCAACGCGCAGAACCUUACCAGCCCUUGACAUACCGGUCGCGGACACAGAGAUGUGUCUUUCAGUUCGGCUGGACCCGGAUACAGGUGCUGCAUGGCUGUCGUCAGCUCGUGUCGUGAGAUGUUGGGUUAAGUCCCGCAACGAGCGCAACCCUCGCCCUUAGUUGCCAGCAUUUAGUUGGGCACUCUAAGGGGACUGCCGGUGAUAAGCCGAGAGGAAGGUGGGGAUGACGUCAAGUCCUCAUGGCCCUUACGGGCUGGGCUACACACGUGCUACAAUGGUGGUGACAGUGGGCAGCGAGCACGCGAGUGUGAGCUAAUCUCCAAAAGCCAUCUCAGUUCGGAUUGCACUCUGCAACUCGAGUGCAUGAAGUUGGAAUCGCUAGUAAUCGCGGAUCAGCAUGCCGCGGUGAAUACGUUCCCAGGCCUU